UUCUUUUAAUGCUUCCAAAACUCUACCAUCAAUUGUAACGCAUGAUUUAACUCUUCAAAUUUUUUGUACCAUAUAUUUAUUGUUCAGAUCUACUCUUCAUCUCGACAUAAAUCUCUGCAAAAUUACCUCUUACUCAAAGUUCCAAUAGAUAGACAGCAGCCGCUAGGGCUAGAAAUCAUUUGAUUUGAUCAUUUGAAUCUGACAAGAAACAACUUUCAACAGGAGCAAAUCAAAACUUACAUAGUGAAAACAGAUUGGCUUUCACAGUAAGCAUGUGGAUUUCAGACAUGUGGUAGAAUUUUAGCUGUGGGAAAUUCAAUCGAAAAGAUCAGAUAUCUAGAAAGUCCCCAAAGGCAGCUGUUGUCGCAGAUUGUGAACUCAUCUCUUAUAAAAGCAUACUUCCAACACAGUCCAUGUCCUUUUGUACCUUUGGUAUCCUCCACCAUAAUUAUUUGGUGAUUGCGUAUGUUUUUGGCUUUUUGAUUCAAGAAGGAACAGAGACAAUGCUUCUCCAAGGUUCCAUCUUUGUUCAUCGCCUUAACACUUUUAAACACAUAUGCUGAAAGAGGGAGCUGUUUACAAGCUCAGUAGGUUUGAUGUUACCUGAUGAAGGUAACUGAACUGAUACCAUUUUAUCUUUGCAUAAUCAGUGAAUAAAACUGGUGUCUCAGACACUACUCUUAUUGACUUUCAAGAGGUAAGAAACUAUCUUUUACAUUGCUUCUUCCAUGUUCUUACUUACCCUCAAAAUGAUUUUAGGGAAACUCUAUCCUCUAGCUUCAUCAAGACCGUUUGAAUCUACUGCUUGCUUUAGCCAAAGAAUAUGAUGUUAACAGAGAGCAAGUCUAGAAACUCAUUAGGCAAUAUCUUGGGGUUGAGGAUGCACCCAAUAAAUCUUUUGUUUUUGUAUUUUGAUUGAUAUUCUUCAAUAGAUUUCUCUCGAUGAACGAGCGUUCUUUAGGUGACGAUGGAGAGGCUCAUUCUACAUAAUGAGGCUUUAUCUGAAGCCUACAUAUGAAACUCUCUUUGAGAUGUUAAAAUACUCAUCCUGGAGGGUUGCAUUUUUUUGUCCAUCCUAUGUGUUCACCUUCAUUAGUCAUACUACAGAUGUGGCUUAGUCCUGCUUCUUUAAAGCUUGAUCAAAUCACUUGGGAUGAUCAUGAUUGCUUGCUUGAGAAAACUGUUGCUAAUGAGAUAUGUGAAAGUAUUUUCUAUUACAAUAAUAUCCAAAACAACUUCGGUUUUUUAUCUAACAUUCUCUUAUUUAUAAAGCGGUGCAACAAAUCAGCAACAUCUUCGAUCUUAAAAAAGAUUUGGAAUAGGGCCUCUAUGCUUUGGUUAUUAUCAUCCAUCUAUUCAUGGGCGGGGACAACAACCUAGGUGACGAUACGCCAGGAGCCUCAUGUGUGUCCUGCAUCUGCUCAAAAAACCACAAGCUUUCUGCAACUGAUCAGGCCACCGGCAGUGGUGGCUUCCACUUACUGAAACAACAGGAACUGAGGAAAACACAGUCGGGAGCUCAGCAAAGGAGCCACAUGUUUCAACAACAGAGAGGGAGCUUAAGAAGGAACCCAAAGCAUAGAUGCUGAAGAUAGCCAAGUGAAGACUCUUCCACUUUCUCGCAAGCUUUUUUUUCAUUUAGUGUUUUUAAAGAAAAUAUCUAUGGUUCUACUUUCACAUUUCCUAUAUUCUAAAUCAAUAAAAGAAUAUUUCAUCUUAA
Long non-coding RNA from Brassica napus (rape), 1720 nucleotides. RefSeq lists it as uncharacterized. The transcript is spliced from 3 exons. Lineage: Eukaryota; Viridiplantae; Streptophyta; Magnoliopsida; Brassicales; Brassicaceae. The record is from RefSeq and is a predicted model, not a curated record.